UCAAGUGAAGAAGCGCAUACGGUGGAUGCCUUGGCAGUCAGAGGCGAUGAAAGACGUGGUAGCCUGCGAAAAGCUUCGGGGAGUCGGCAAACAGACUUUGAUCCGGAGAUCUCUGAAUGGGGGAACCCACCUAGGAUAACCUAGGUAUCUUGUACUGAAUCCAUAGGUGCAAGAGGCGAACCAGGGGAACUGAAACAUCUAAGUACCCUGAGGAAAAGAAAUCAACCGAGAUUCCCUUAGUAGUGGCGAGCGAACGGGGAUUAGCCCUUAAGCUUCAUUGAUUUUAGCGGAACGCUCUGGAAAGUGCGGCCAUAGUGGGUGAUAGCCCCGUACGCGAAAGGAUCUUUGAAGUGAAAUCGAGUAGGACGGAGCACGAGAAACUUUGUUUGAACAUGGGGGGACCAUCCUCCAAGGCUAAAUACUACUGACUGACCGAUAGUGAACCAGUACCGUGAGGGAAAGGCGAAAAGAACCCCGGAGAGGGGAGUGAAAUAGAACCUGAAACCGUAUGCGUACAAGCAGUGGGAGCCUACUUGUUAGGUGACUGCGUACCUUUUGUAUAAUGGGUCAGCGACUUAUAUUCAGUGGCAAGCUUAACCGUAUAGGGUAGGCGUAGCGAAAGCGAGUCUUAAUAGGGCGUUUAGUCGCUGGGUAUAGACCCGAAACCGGGCGAUCUAUCCAUGAGCAGGUUGAAGGUUAGGUAACACUGACUGGAGGACCGAACCCACUCCCGUUGAAAAGGUAGGGGAUGACUUGUGGAUCGGAGUGAAAGGCUAAUCAAGCUCGGAGAUAGCUGGUUCUCCUCGAAAGCUAUUUAGGUAGCGCCUCAUGUAUCACUCUGGGGGGUAGAGCACUGUUUCGGCUAGGGGGUCAUCCCGACUUACCAAACCGAUGCAAACUCCGAAUACCCAGAAGUGCCGAGCAUGGGAGACACACGGCGGGUGCUAACGUCCGUCGUGAAAAGGGAAACAACCCAGACCGCCAGCUAAGGUCCCAAAGUUGUGGUUAAGUGGUAAACGAUGUGGGAAGGCUUAGACAGCUAGGAGGUUGGCUUAGAAGCAGCCACCCUUUAAAGAAAGCGUAAUAGCUCACUAGUCGAGUCGGCCUGCGCGGAAGAUGUAACGGGGCUCAAACCACACACCGAAGCUGCGGGUGUCACGUAAGUGACGCGGUAGAGGAGCGUUCUGUAAGCCUGUGAAGGUGAGUUGAGAAGCUUGCUGGAGGUAUCAGAAGUGCGAAUGCUGACAUGAGUAACGACAAUGGGUGUGAAAAACACCCACGCCGAAAGACCAAGGGUUCCUGCGCAACGUUAAUCGACGCAGGGUUAGUCGGUUCCUAAGGCGAGGCUGAAAAGCGUAGUCGAUGGGAAACAGGUUAAUAUUCCUGUACUUCUGGUUACUGCGAUGGAGGGACGGAGAAGGCUAGGCCAGCUUGGCGUUGGUUGUCCAAGUUUAAGGUGGUAGGCUGAAAUCUUAGGUAAAUCCGGGGUUUCAAGGCCGAGAGCUGAUGACGAGUCGUCUUUUAGAUGACGAAGUGGUUGAUGCCAUGCUUCCAAGAAAAGCUUCUAAGCUUCAGGUAACCAGGAACCGUACCCCAAACCGACACAGGUGGUCGGGUAGAGAAUACCAAGGCGCUUGAGAGAACUCGGGUGAAGGAACUAGGCAAAAUGGCACCGUAACUUCGGGAGAAGGUGCGCCGGCUAGGGUGAAGGAUUUACUCCGUAAGCUCUGGCUGGUCGAAGAUACCAGGCCGCUGCGACUGUUUAUUAAAAACACAGCACUCUGCAAACACGAAAGUGGACGUAUAGGGUGUGACGCCUGCCCGGUGCCGGAAGGUUAAUUGAUGGGGUUAGCGCAAGCGAAGCUCUUGAUCGAAGCCCCGGUAAACGGCGGCCGUAACUAUAACGGUCCUAAGGUAGCGAAAUUCCUUGUCGGGUAAGUUCCGACCUGCACGAAUGGCGUAACGAUGGCGGCGCUGUCUCCACCCGAGACUCAGUGAAAUUGAAAUCGCUGUGAAGAUGCAGUGUAUCCGCGGCUAGACGGAAAGACCCCGUGAACCUUUACUGUAGCUUUGCACUGGACUUUGAGCCUGCUUGUGUAGGAUAGGUGGGAGGCUUUGAAGCGUGGACGCCAGUUCGCGUGGAGCCAUCCUUGAAAUACCACCCUGGCAUGCUUGAGGUUCUAACUCUGGUCCGUAAUCCGGAUCGAGGACAGUGUAUGGUGGGCAGUUUGACUGGGGCGGUCUCCUCCUAAAGAGUAACGGAGGAGUACGAAGGUGCGCUCAGACCGGUCGGAAAUCGGUCGUAGAGUAUAAAGGCAAAAGCGCGCUUGACUGCGAGACAGACACGUCGAGCAGGUACGAAAGUAGGUCUUAGUGAUCCGGUGGUUCUGUAUGGAAGGGCCAUCGCUCAACGGAUAAAAGGUACUCCGGGGAUAACAGGCUGAUACCGCCCAAGAGUUCAUAUCGACGGCGGUGUUUGGCACCUCGAUGUCGGCUCAUCACAUCCUGGGGCUGAAGCCGGUCCCAAGGGUAUGGCUGUUCGCCAUUUAAAGUGGUACGCGAGCUGGGUUUAGAACGUCGUGAGACAGUUCGGUCCCUAUCUGCCGUGGACGUUUGAGAUUUGAGAGGGGCUGCUCCUAGUACGAGAGGACCGGAGUGGACGAACCUCUGGUGUUCCGGUUGUCACGCCAGUGGCAUUGCCGGGUAGCUAUGUUCGGAAAAGAUAACCGCUGAAAGCAUCUAAGCGGGAAACUUGCCUCAAGAUGAGAUCUCACUGGGAACUUGAUUCCCCUGAAGGGCCGUCGAAGACUACGACGUUGAUAGGCUGGGUGUGUAAGCGUUGUGAGGCGUUGAGCUAACCAGUACUAAUUGCCCGUGAGGCUUGACCAU
This 2889-nucleotide ribosomal RNA is filed under the name Pseudomonas aeruginosa BL14. RNAcentral's name for it is "bacterial LSU rRNA". It matches the Rfam family "Bacterial large subunit ribosomal RNA". Lineage: Bacteria; Pseudomonadati; Pseudomonadota; Gammaproteobacteria; Pseudomonadales; Pseudomonadaceae. The record is from RNAcentral.